AAAUUGAAGAGUUUGAUCAUGGCUCAGAUUGAACGCUGGCGGCAGGCCUAACACAUGCAAGUCGAACGGUAACAGGAAGCAGCUUGCUGCUUUGCUGACGAGUGGCGGACGGGUGAGUAAUGUCUGGGAAACUGCCUGAUGGAGGGGGAUAACUACUGGAAACGGUAGCUAAUACCGCAUAACGUCGCAAGACCAAAGAGGGGGACCUUCGGGCCUCUUGCCAUCGGAUGUGCCCAGAUGGGAUUAGCUAGUAGGUGGGGUAAAGGCUCACCUAGGCGACGAUCCCUAGCUGGUCUGAGAGGAUGACCAGCCACACUGGAACUGAGACACGGUCCAGACUCCUACGGGAGGCAGCAGUGGGGAAUAUUGCACAAUGGGCGCAAGCCUGAUGCAGCCAUGCCGCGUGUAUGAAGAAGGCCUUCGGGUUGUAAAGUACUUUCAGCGGGGAGGAAGGGAGUA
This 459-nucleotide ribosomal RNA is filed under the name Escherichia coli. Its description in RNAcentral is "bacterial SSU rRNA". It matches the Rfam family "Bacterial small subunit ribosomal RNA", at positions 1 to 456 of the family's 1533-position model. The record is from RNAcentral. Lineage: Bacteria; Pseudomonadati; Pseudomonadota; Gammaproteobacteria; Enterobacterales; Enterobacteriaceae.